Molecule: long non-coding RNA, 347 nt
Organism: Equus quagga
Lineage: Eukaryota; Metazoa; Chordata; Mammalia; Perissodactyla; Equidae
Exons: 3
Source: RefSeq, a predicted model, not a curated record
AAAAGGAGUAUUAGGGCCACAGAGGAAAGGAAGAGAGGAGAGGAGAAACAGCUAAAGGAAAGCUUAAGGCCAGUGUCUAUUAUUUACCUGUCAUUCUGCUGGAUAAUAUUUUCUGCCACCAAAUGGUUGGGUGUUACGGAAAUAAAAUGAUUUAAUUUGGAGGAAUUUGAUUGAAGCAGUGUGGACAAUGUGAGUCUGCAAAAAAAGAGCCCUCGCUGGUUUCUGAAGGAUUUCCAGCUGAGUAAGUUUGCCACCUGAAGCCUUCACUUGAAUGUGGAUCUUCCUUAGCUCCCAGAAACUGGGUCUGUGGCUGGCCCCGGCAUGUUCCCAGACCCACACAAGCUCCU